RNAcentral lists this transfer RNA (71 nucleotides) under Sus scrofa (pig). It matches the Rfam family "tRNA". Rfam says of the family: Transfer RNA (tRNA) molecules are approximately 80 nucleotides in length. Their secondary structure includes four short double-helical elements and three loops (D, anti-codon, and T loops). The record is from Rfam by way of RNAcentral. Lineage: Eukaryota; Metazoa; Chordata; Mammalia; Artiodactyla; Suidae.
CUCUGGUUAGUCCAGUGGCUGGAAUUCCUGGUUUUCACCCAGGCUGCACAGGUUCAAUUCCUGAGCAGAAA